GUCCCUGUAGCGCCAUGGAUAGCGCGUUGGAUUUCGAACCCAAAGGUCGUGGGUUCAAAUCCCGCCUGGGAUG
RNAcentral lists this transfer RNA (73 nucleotides) under Trichonephila inaurata madagascariensis. It matches the Rfam family "tRNA". Rfam says of the family: Transfer RNA (tRNA) molecules are approximately 80 nucleotides in length. Their secondary structure includes four short double-helical elements and three loops (D, anti-codon, and T loops). The record is from Rfam by way of RNAcentral. Lineage: Eukaryota; Metazoa; Arthropoda; Arachnida; Araneae; Nephilidae.